CGGACUUCAGUUCAACGAAUA
This 21-nucleotide microRNA is filed under the name Heligmosomoides polygyrus. Its description in RNAcentral is "hpo-miR-76-5p". Its record names the gene hpo-miR-76-5p. The record is from miRBase by way of RNAcentral. Lineage: Eukaryota; Metazoa; Nematoda; Chromadorea; Rhabditida; Heligmosomidae.